This 468-nucleotide ribosomal RNA is filed under the name uncultured bacterium. Its description in RNAcentral is "partial 16S ribosomal RNA". It matches the Rfam family "Bacterial small subunit ribosomal RNA", at positions 28 to 507 of the family's 1533-position model. The record is from RNAcentral.
GACGAACGCUGGCGGCGUGCUUAACACAUGCAAGUCGAACGGAAAGGCCCUGCUUUUGGGGGGUGCUCGAGUUGCGAACGGGUGAGUAACACGUGAGUAACCUGCCCUUGACUUUGGCAUAACUUCAGGAAACUGGGGCUAAUACCUGAUGGGAGCUCCUGUUUCAUGGUGGGGGGUGGAUAGUUUCGUCGGUUGGGGCUGGAUGCGCGGCUUAUCAGCUUGUUGGUGGGGUGUUGGCUUACCAAGGCUUUGACGGGUAGCCGGCAUGAGCGCGGGACCGGCCACAUUGGGACUGCGAUACGGAGCAGUCGCGUACGGGCGGCAACAGUGGAGAGCCUUGCAGAAUGGGGGGACGUCUGAUGAAGAAGCUCCGCGUGCGGAAUGACGGGUUGCGGGUGGUAAACCGCUUUCGACUGUGAAGAAGCGUGAGUGACGGUAAUGGGUAAAGAAGCCACGGCUAACUACGUG